RNAcentral lists this ribosomal RNA (200 nucleotides) under uncultured Streptococcus sp. Its description in RNAcentral is "partial 16S ribosomal RNA". It matches the Rfam family "Bacterial small subunit ribosomal RNA", at positions 335 to 526 of the family's 1533-position model. Lineage: Bacteria; Bacillati; Bacillota; Bacilli; Lactobacillales; Streptococcaceae. The record is from RNAcentral.
ACUCCUACGGGAGGCAGCAGUAGGGAAUCUUCGGCAAUGGGCGGCACCCUGACCGAGCAACGCCGCGUGAGUGAAGAAGGUUUUCGGAUCGUAAAGCUCUGUUGUAAGUCAAGAACGAGUGUGAGAGUGGAAAGUUCACACUGUGACGGUACCUUACCAGAAAUGGACGGCUAACUACGUGCCAGCAGCCGCGGUAAUAC